Molecule: long non-coding RNA, 1628 nt
Organism: Cyprinus carpio carpio
Lineage: Eukaryota; Metazoa; Chordata; Actinopteri; Cypriniformes; Cyprinidae
Source: Ensembl
UAUCUAUCAGCUUUGAACAUUUGUUUUAUAAAUGUAGGAUAAAGGGAAUAUCUUUAUUUGAUUAUUGCUGUGCACAGAAACUGAUCCGCAUGUUGAAAUUCUGGUGGCAAAUGCAGUGGCCAUAUUUCUUAAUCAAGUUUCAGUUUAACUCCCAUAGGCUAUGAGCUCCCAGUUUCCUCUGUACUGGUGCACAGAGUGAGAGAGAGAGAGAGAGAGAGAGAGAGAGAGAGAGCAGGGGAGGAACACUAAAUGAUGAAUGGAGAGAAGAUGACUGAUCGGAUGACAUGAGGCUUUAGGGCUGCUCUGCAAAGACGAGAGAGCAAGAGAAGCAGAGAGCGGAAGAAGUGACAGCUUCAGAGGAGAGAUCAGAUGCCGGGGCGUCUUCACAUCCAGACGGGCAGCAAUGCAAUAUCUUACCCAUACAACCUCUCUGUCACCGUCCGCCCCAAAUAGCACAUAAAACCACUCAGCUGAGGAGAAAUAAACUAACAACGGAUGCAGCAAAAACAAGGUGUCAAGGGAAAUGGUUUCAUCAAGUCUAGCUCAUAAAAAGGGAAUUUAUGGACGCAAGGGCUUUUUUUGCACUGCAAGCGGUCUCGCCCUGAUCAUAUGGACCCCCUGUACUGACCAGUCAGCCUGUUUGUGAUAUCACUGGGGUUGUAAUCAAGGCCAGGGUCAUAACUCACAGGGCAGCACAAUGAGAAAAUAAAGCUGAAUCCAGUAUUAUAUAUAUAUAUAUAUAUAUAUAUAUAUAUAUAUAUAUAUAUAUAUAUAUAUAGAGAGAGAGAGAGAGAGAGAGAGAGAGAGAGAGAGAGAGAGAGAGAGAGAGAGAGAGAAUCAUAUAGUUUAAUGGCAAAUCAUUUUCACACAGUGAGGUUUGAGUCUUAUAAAAAAAAAAUGUCCUGACAGACCUGUAACUCUUGGUUCUGGCUACUUUUCUUGUUUCGGUACUCUUUGGUUCUGUCUAGAUAACUAUUUUUAGUUUUUAGUUCUUUAAAAGUUUCAUUUCAUUCAUAAUAAAACAUUUAUCUUUUAAAAAUAUCAUAUAAAUGCUUUGUUCUGGCUAAAAUUCUGCCGGUCUGUUUUUUUUUUUUUUUAAGCCAAAGCAACAAACCACAAUAAUGUAAUUGUAGCUCAGGUUUAUUCACUUGACACACUAAUCAAAUUUAAAUUGUUGUGCACAUGCUCUGAAAACUUUAACCUGGAAAGGUGGAAAAGUGUCUAUCACUUUCUCAAAUAUCGUGGCCACAAAUUAAGAAUUUGUUCACAUUUAUAUUUUGUAAUUAAUAGUUAAUUUUUUCUACAUCGCAUCAGGGACUCCUUAUAACACUAUGUACAGAAAGGCAACGUCUGUAGCUAAACUUCAUAAAAACCUGCUGUUGAUCGAUUAGAACUGUGAAAGUAAAUACGGUAUAAUGUUUAGAUCAGUGUACAGCAUACACUGAAAAAAAUAAUUAAUUGAAUUUACUAAAUUUGUUUAAGGUAAGUGGUUGCAAUCGAUUUAUUUUAUCUACAUUUAAAUAAACAAAUUUAGUUGCAUUGUGUCAUACAAUGUUCCACACUAUACUGUGGAAAACGAAAUGUGCAUACUGUGCUAGGUACACAACAGUACAAGCACUAUGGUAGGA